AGAUGUUUGGCACCACCUGCUUUGUCAGAUGUAUGAUAUGCAAAUAUCUUCUCCCAAUUACUGGACUGUGGAAGUUUGCUAUGAGAUGAUUGUCAUGACCUUAUCUGAUAGACAAGGGAACUGAGGUUCAGAGAACAGAUGCAACACAGCCAAGGACACACAGGAACCUGGAUAUAAUGAGGCGACCACAUUUAGAUGGUAAAAUGACCAGUGCCCACUUGCUGUUGAAAUGCUACGCUUUGAAAGUCCAUGGAUACCCAAGAGAGAAAUGUUCAAUAUUCAACAAAAUCGAAGAAUUUGGAAAUUGAAAAUCUCUCAGAUGUUCUGAGAGAGAGAGUAAAUCCUAGGGCAGAGUCAGAGGAUUUACACUUAAGCCUACAACUAUAUGAGAAAGAAAUAAGGAAGAGAAUAAAAGCCUGGACAAUUGGG
This is a long non-coding RNA of Erinaceus europaeus (western European hedgehog), 429 nucleotides long. RefSeq lists it as uncharacterized. The record is from RefSeq and is a predicted model, not a curated record. Lineage: Eukaryota; Metazoa; Chordata; Mammalia; Eulipotyphla; Erinaceidae. The transcript has 3 exons.